RNAcentral lists this ribosomal RNA (253 nucleotides) under uncultured bacterium. RNAcentral's name for it is "partial 16S ribosomal RNA". It matches the Rfam family "Bacterial small subunit ribosomal RNA", at positions 524 to 776 of the family's 1533-position model. The record is from RNAcentral.
UACGUAGGGCGCAAGCGUUAUCCGGAAUUAUUGGGCGCAAAGAGCUCGUAGGCGGUUUGUCGCGUCUGCCGUGAAAGUCCGGGGCUCAACUCCGGAUCUGCGGUGGGUACGGGCAGACUAGAGUGAUGUAGGGGAGACUGGAAUUCCUGGUGUAGCGGUGAAAUGCGCAGAUAUCAGGAGGAACACCGAUGGCGAAGGCAGGUCUCUGGGCAUUAACUGACGCUGAGGAGCGAAAGCGUGGGGAGCGAACAGG